Molecule: long non-coding RNA, 299 nt
Filed under: Citrus sinensis (sweet orange)
Lineage: Eukaryota; Viridiplantae; Streptophyta; Magnoliopsida; Sapindales; Rutaceae
Description: long non-coding RNA (CSIN_LNC003578)
Source: RNAcentral
CUGCACUGUGUUUAUACUUGUGUGUUUCUGUCUUUGCAUUCUUGUGUAUGUAUGACAGCAUGUGUAGUCACAACAUGCUCCUACAUCCUCUACGCUGUGUAAAUUUUAUUCUACACAAGCGUUCAUAUUACAUUCAUCUGUAUCCGCAUCAGAAGUUGCUCACAGUAAUAUGAGGCAUUAUUUGUGUUGGCCAAUGUUUGAUACAUAAUGUCCUUCAUGCUUUUGAUAUUUCCGUUUCUGUUGCUUUCCUUUCAAGUACCUUGCCGCUCAUCUAGUGACGAGGUUUAUCUGCUUUCAGG